CACGUAGGCACCAAGCGUUGUCCGGAUUUAUUGGGCGUAAAGAGCUCGUAGGCGGUUCAGUAAGUCGGGUGUGAAAACUCUGGGCUCAACCCAGAGACGCCACCCGAUACUGCUGUGACUUGAGUACGGUAGGGGAGUGGGGAAUUCCUGGUGUAGCGGUGAAAUGCGCAGAUAUCAGGAGGAACACCAAUGGCGAAGGCAGCUCUCUGGUACGUGACUGACACUGAGACGCGAAAGCGUGGGGAGCGAACAGG
This 254-nucleotide ribosomal RNA is filed under the name uncultured bacterium. Its description in RNAcentral is "partial 16S ribosomal RNA". It matches the Rfam family "Bacterial small subunit ribosomal RNA", at positions 524 to 776 of the family's 1533-position model. The record is from RNAcentral.